GAUGAACGCUGGCGGCGUGCCUAAUACAUGCAAGUCGAGCGAACGGACGAGAAGCUUGCUUCUCUGAUGUUAGCGGCGGACGGGUGAGUAACACGUGGAUAACCUACCUAUAAGACUGGGAUAACUUCGGGAAACCGGGGCUAAUACCGGAUAAUAUUUUGAACCGCAUGGUUCAAAAGUGAAAGACGGUCUUGCUGUCACUUAUAGAUGGAUCCGCGCUGCAUUAGCUAGUUGGUAAGGUAACGGCUUACCAAGGCAACGAUGCAUAGCCGACCUGAGAGGGUGAUCGGCCACACUGGAACCGAGACACGGUCCAGACUCCUACGGGAGGCAGCAGUAGGGAAUCUUCCGCAAUGGGCGAAAGCCUGACGGAGCAACGCCGCGUGAGUGAUGAAGGUCUUCGGAUCGUAAAACUCUGUUAUUAGGGAAGAACAUAUGUGUAAGUAACUGUGCACAUCUUGACGGUACCUAAUCAGAAAGCCACGGCUAACUACGUG
This 497-nucleotide ribosomal RNA is filed under the name uncultured bacterium. RNAcentral describes it as "partial 16S ribosomal RNA". It matches the Rfam family "Bacterial small subunit ribosomal RNA", at positions 28 to 507 of the family's 1533-position model. The record is from RNAcentral.